CACCUCUAGCAUUACAAGUAUUAGAGGCAUUGCCUGCCCAGUGACUAUAGUUAAACGGCCGCGGUAUCCUGACCGUGCAAAGGUAGCAUAAUCAUUUGUUCCUUAAUUAGGGACUAGUAUGAAUGGCUAGACGAGGGAUCAACUGUCUCUUAUUUUCAAUCAGUGAAAUUGACCUUCCAGUGAAGAGGCUGGAAUACAAUAAUAAGACGAGAAGACCCUAUGGAGCUUAAAUUAACAAGCUUAAUUAUUACCUAAAUAUCCUAAUGGAACAAAACAAAAAAUAUAAGCUUAAAAUUUUGGUUGGGGUGACCUCGGAGAACAAAAAAUCCUCCGAAAGAUAUAUAACAUAGACCUACAAGUCAAAGUAACUCAGUUAUCUUAUUGACCCAAAAAUUGAUCAACGGACCAAGUUACCCUAGGGAUAACAGCGCAAUCCUAUUUAAGAGUCCAUAUCGACAAUAGGGUUUACGACCUCGAUGUUGGAUCAGGACAUCCCAAUGGUGCAGAAGCUAUUAAUGGUUCGUUUGUUCAACGAUUAAAGUCCUA
RNAcentral lists this ribosomal RNA (546 nucleotides) under Hylomyscus pamfi. RNAcentral describes it as "partial 16S ribosomal RNA". It matches the Rfam family "Bacterial large subunit ribosomal RNA", at positions 1816 to 2598 of the family's 2925-position model. The record is from RNAcentral. Lineage: Eukaryota; Metazoa; Chordata; Mammalia; Rodentia; Muridae.